Molecule: ribosomal RNA, 464 nt
Filed under: uncultured bacterium
Lineage: Bacteria
Description: partial 16S ribosomal RNA
Rfam family: Bacterial small subunit ribosomal RNA
Source: RNAcentral
CUACGGGAUGCUCCAGUGAGGAAUUUUGCGCAAUGGGGGAAACCCUGACGCAGCAACGCCGCGUGAGCGAAGAAGGCCUUCGGAUCGUAAAGCUCUGUCAAGUGGGAAAAAAAUUCUUUGAUGAACAGUCAAAGGACUUGAUGGUACCACUGGAGGAAGCACCGGCUAACUCCGUGCCAGCAGCCGCGGUAAUACGGAGGGUGCAAGCGUUGUUCGGAAUUACUGGGCGUAAAGAGCGGGUAGGCGGUUUGACAAGUCAGAUGUGAAAGCCCCGGGCUCAACCCGGGAAGUGCAUUUGAAACUGUUUCACUAGAGUAUGGGAGAGGAGAUUGGAAUUCCUGGUGUAGAGGUGAAAUUCGUAGAUAUCAGGAGGAACACCCGUGGCGAAGGCGAUUCUCUGGACCAAUACUGACGCUGAGACGCGAAAGCGUGGGGAGCAAACAGGAUUAGAUACCCUGGUAGUC